AAGUAGUGAAGUAAAAAAAUUACAUUUAGUUUCGACCUAAAAAUAGAGUAAACUCCUUACUUU
Molecule: transfer RNA, 63 nt
Filed under: Roburocoris exiguus
Lineage: Eukaryota; Metazoa; Arthropoda; Insecta; Hemiptera; Miridae
Description: tRNA-Arg
Source: RNAcentral